AAUAGAUACCCGGGUAGUCCACGCCCUAAACGAUGCCAACUAGGUGUUGGGGAAGGAGACUUCCUUAGUACCGUAGCUAACGCGUGAAGUUGGCCGCCUGGGGAGUACGGUCGCAAGAUUAAAACUCAAAGGAAUUGACGGGGACCCGCACAAGCGGUGGAUGAUGUGGAUUAAUUCGAUGCAACGCGAAAAACCUUACCUACCCUUGACAUGCCAGGAACUUGCCAGAGAUGGCUUGGUGCUCGAAAGAGAGCCUGGACACAGGUGCCGCAUGGCUGUCGUCAGCUCGUGUCGUGAGAUGUUGGGUUAAGUCCCGCAACGAGCGCAACCCUUGUCAUUAAUUGCCAUCAUUUAGUUGGGCACUUUAAUGAGACUGCCGGUGACAAACCGGAGGAAGGUGGGGAUGACGUCAAGUCCUCAUGGCCCUUAUGGGUUAGGGCUUCACACGUCAUACAAUGGUCGGUACAGAGGGUUGCCAAGCCGCGAGGUGGAGCCAAUCCCAGAAAGCCGAUCGUAGUCCGGAUUGGAGU
Molecule: ribosomal RNA, 530 nt
Filed under: uncultured bacterium
Lineage: Bacteria
Description: bacterial SSU rRNA
Rfam family: Bacterial small subunit ribosomal RNA
Source: RNAcentral